RNAcentral lists this ribosomal RNA (440 nucleotides) under uncultured bacterium. RNAcentral describes it as "partial 16S ribosomal RNA". It matches the Rfam family "Bacterial small subunit ribosomal RNA", at positions 338 to 795 of the family's 1533-position model. The record is from RNAcentral.
CCUACGGGAGGCAGCAGUGGGGAAUAUUGCACAAUGGGGGAAACCCUGAUGCAGCGACGCCGCGUGAGUGAAGAAGUAUUUCGGUAUGUAAAGCUCUAUCAGCAGGGAAGAGAAUGACGGUACCUGAGUAAGAAGCCCCGGCUAACUACGUGCCAGCAGCCGCGGUAAUACGUAGGGGGCAAGCGUUAUCCGGAUUUACUGGGUGUAAAGGGAGCGUAGACGGCGAAGAAAGUCUGAAGUGAAAGCCCGCGGCUCAACCGCGGAACUGCUUUGGAAACUUUUUUGCUGGAGUACCGGAGAGGUAAGCGGAAUUCCUAGUGUAGCGGUGAAAUGCGUAGAUAUUAGGAGGAACACCAGUGGCGAAGGCGGCUUACUGGACGGUAACUGACGCUGAGGCACGAAGGCCAGGGGAGCGAAAGGGAUUAGAUACCCCAGUAGUC